GAUGAACGCUAGCGGCAGGCCUAAUACAUGCAAGUCGGACGGGAUUCAGGAGCUUGCUUCUGAUGAGAGUGGCGCACGGGUGCGUAACACGUAUGUAACCUACCUUUAUCAGGGGGAUAGCCUCUCGAAAGAGAGAUUAAGCCCGCAUAAAAUCACAGCACAGCAUUGUGUAAUGAUCAAAUAUUUAUAGGAUAAAGAUGGGCAUGCGGAACAUUAGCUAGAUGGCGGGGUAACGGCCCACCAUGGCGACGAUGUUUAGGGGAUCUGAGAGGAUGGCCCCCCACACUGGUACUGAGACACGGACCAGACUACUACGGGAGGCAGCAGUAAGGAAUAUUGGUCAAUGGGCGGAAGCCUGAACCAGCCAUGCCGCGUGCAGGAAGGCGGCCCUACGGGUUGUAAACUGCUUUUAUACGGGAAUAAACCCAGAUACGUGUAUCUGGCUGAAUGUACUGUAAGAAUAAGGAUCGGCUAACUCCG
RNAcentral lists this ribosomal RNA (480 nucleotides) under uncultured bacterium. Its description in RNAcentral is "partial 16S ribosomal RNA". It matches the Rfam family "Bacterial small subunit ribosomal RNA", at positions 28 to 505 of the family's 1533-position model. The record is from RNAcentral.